RNAcentral lists this ribosomal RNA (253 nucleotides) under uncultured bacterium. Its description in RNAcentral is "partial 16S ribosomal RNA". It matches the Rfam family "Bacterial small subunit ribosomal RNA", at positions 524 to 776 of the family's 1533-position model. The record is from RNAcentral.
UACAGAGGUCCCAAGCGUUGUUCGGAUUCACUGGGCGUAAAGGGUGCGUAGGUGGCCAGGUAAGUUCGGUGUGAAAGCUCGGAGCUCAACUCCGAAAAGUCAUUGAAUACUAUCUGGCUGGAGGGUCGGAGGGGAGACUGGAAUUCUCGGUGUAGCAGUGAAAUGCGUAGAUAUCGAGAGGAACACCAGUGGCGAAGGCGAGUCUCUGGACGACACCUGACACUGAGGCACGAAAGCUAGGGGAGCAAACAGG